Molecule: ribosomal RNA, 1372 nt
Filed under: Klebsiella pneumoniae
Lineage: Bacteria; Pseudomonadati; Pseudomonadota; Gammaproteobacteria; Enterobacterales; Enterobacteriaceae
Description: partial 23S ribosomal RNA
Rfam family: Bacterial large subunit ribosomal RNA
Source: RNAcentral
GGCGAUGAAGGACGUGCUAAUCUGCGAAAAGCGUCGGUAAGGUGAUAUGAACCGUUAUAACCGGCGAUGUCCGAAUGGGGAAACCCAGUGCAAUUCGUUGCACUAUCGUUAACUGAAUACAUAGGUUAACGAGGCGAACCGGGGGAACUGAAACAUCUAAGUACCCCGAGGAAAAGAAAUCAACCGAGAUUCCCCCAGUAGCGGCGAGCGAACGGGGAGCAGCCCAGAGUCUGAAUCAGCUUGUGUGUUAGUGGAACGGUCUGGAAAGUCCGACGGUACAGGGUGAUAGUCCCGUACACCAAAAUGCACAGGCUGUGAACUCGAAGAGUAGGGCGGGACACGUGGUAUCCUGUCUGAAUAUGGGGGGACCAUCCUCCAAGGCUAAAUACUCCUGACUGACCGAUAGUGAACCAGUACCGUGAGGGAAAGGCGAAAAGAACCCCGGCGAGGGGAGUGAAAAAGAACCUGAAACCGUGUACGUACAAGCAGUGGGAGCACCUUCGGGUGUGACUGCGUACCUUUUGUAUAAUGGGUCAGCGACUUAUAUUCUGUAGCAAGGUUAACCGUAUAGGGGAGCCGCAGGGAAACCGAGUCUUAACUGGGCGUUAAGUUGCAGGGUAUAGACCCGAAACCCGGUGAUCUAGCCAUGGGCAGGUUGAAGGUUGGGUAACACUAACUGGAGGACCGAACCGACUAAUGUUGAAAAAUUAGCGGAUGACUUGUGGCUGGGGGUGAAAGGCCAAUCAAACCGGGAGAUAGCUGGUUCUCCCCGAAAGCUAUUUAGGUAGCGCCUCGUGAACUCAUCUUCGGGGGUAGAGCACUGUUUCGGCUAGGGGGUCAUCCCGACUUACCAACCCGAUGCAAACUACGAAUACCGAAGAAUGUUAUCACGGGAGACACACGGCGGGUGCUAACGUCCGUCGUGAAGAGGGAAACAACCCAGACCGCCAGCUAAGGUCCCAAAGUCAUGGUUAAGUGGGAAACGAUGUGGGAAGGCACAGACAGCCAGGAUGUUGGCUUAGAAGCAGCCAUCAUUUAAAGAAAGCGUAAUAGCUCACUGGUCGAGUCGGCCUGCGCGGAAGAUGUAACGGGGCUAAACCAUGCACCGAAGCUGCGGCAGCGACACUAUGUGUUGUUGGGUAGGGGAGCGUUCUGUAAGCCUGCGAAGGUGUGCUGUGAGGCAUGCUGGAGGUAUCAGAAGUGCGAAUGCUGACAUAAGUAACGAUAAAGCGGGUGAAAAGCCCGCUCGCCGGAAGACCAAGGGUUCCUGUCCAACGUUAAUCGGGGCAGGGUGAGUCGACCCCUAAGGCGAGGCCGAAAGGCGUAGUCGAUGGGAAACAGGUUAAUAUUCCUGUACUUGGUGUUACUGCGA